Long non-coding RNA from Rhea pennata, 1866 nucleotides. RefSeq lists it as uncharacterized. Lineage: Eukaryota; Metazoa; Chordata; Aves; Rheiformes; Rheidae. The record is from RefSeq and is a predicted model, not a curated record. The transcript has 3 exons.
UCAGUCUAAUGCUCUUGAUAGUGAAGGCAUGCUCAGCUUUGUAAAAACAGUGCACUUCUGGCUCUAGGCUAAAGCUAUUUUAUUUUUUUCUUUCCAGAUCACAGCCUUUUAAGACGCUAAUAACUGCAUAUGUCAUUGAAUAACACUUCAGCAUUGUUUGAAUCCUUGCUAUUAAUGGGCUACAUAUCUCAACUACAGCCUUAUCCAUAGAGCUUGUAUGUGAACAGAGACAAGUCCAGCUUGACUCCAUUGCCUUUCAAAAAACAGGAAAUUGCAGCAUUUCUUCAUCCGAUACAUUAAUAACAUGAAGGAACUUUAAAGCUUUUCUUCCUUCUUGGCUUUCACCUGUUCUGACCACAUGUAUUUGCUUCUGCCGAGUCACAAGAGACCAGCUGCAGUUUAAAGAAAAUAUGCAGGGAGUUUGAGCUGUAUUCUUGGAAAACCAGCCUUGCCACUCAGUGGCUGCUCUGCCCUAUGGAAAUACCAGAUUCCAAAGCCUGUGGGAACCAGUCCGGCUCAGUAGACCUCCCUUACUUUCACUGCCUGCUUUAUCAUUCAUGCUUUUCACUUGUCACGUACCCAGAUGCUACAAGAAUGGGCAGACUAUGGGCCUAACUGAAGUCUACUGACAUCAAAAGACUCCCAUUGACUUUAACAGACACUGGAGCUAACCCUCUAUAAAUCACUGAAAGUCAGUGAUUAAACAGACAGUCCCUUCUGAAUAGUGGAGAGACUAAUAAAACGCCCCCGAAAUUUACUUCCUGUAUUAAGUCCAAACAUGCACGCUUUGAGGCAAUUCUGCAACCUGUCUGCUUUACCUCAUAAUUUCCCUGCUGAAGGUAUUUCAAAGAGAAAGAGAAAUAGUUUCUCAUUGAGCCAGGACAGUACCUUCAUAAUUGCACUCCUACUUGGGGAGUUAUAGCAGCCUUGCUGUAUUUCCCGUGCACGGGCCCAGUGGCUCCCAGAGGCAGAGCUGGGCCCAUGCCUGCACCGAUGCCAACAGCUGCAUUCCCAUCCAGGAGUUCCCCAAAUCCUGAUGUGGACCACAGAGAGAGGGUAUCUGGAAGCUGACAGAUAACACUAAGUAAUUGGUGGUUGAGGUUCAUUUGAGGUCUGUGACACACCCUCUGAAUCCUGAACUGACUUCAUUAAUUUAAGUAACUAAUUGACUGGUGGAGUCCUCGCAAGCAUUCCCGGUGCACUGUCGUGGAAUACCCCCUGCUGCGCCUAGGAGCCUGGCAGCCGUGCCCGUGAAGUCAGAGAGCCUUCACAGCAUGCUUCUCACCUGGGUGCCUUAGCUAAUUUUCACAGCUGCAUAAAGAACAACGCUGACGCAUGCCCCAUCUUCGAGGGGUUGAAAUGUGACUGAAGGCGUACCUCGCAGUGCACGCUGCGUGCGUAUUUGACCAUGUCAUCUGCCUGAAAAGUGAUUGCCCUGCUGUAGUCCACCCUGAGUCAGUUGAGACAACCAUCUUUCAUUUAUCUGUUAGCAUCUUCCACCCACUCGCCGGCUUCUUCUGCACAAAAUGGCACUGGGCUGACAGGUUUGAUGAUAUGCAGAUGAUAUUUGGCCUUGACUCCUGACCCUCCUAAAGACACAUAUCUUCAGGAAAUCUUAUGCCAUGCAAAGGCGAAAUGUUCAGCUCACUAAGGGGACACACAACUACUCCUAACCCUAGGCCAUUUGACAUUUAUUUUUUUUUAUACUUACAGCUAAAGCAUUUGGAAAACAAAGGAAAACAUUUAUGAACACUAAUAAAUAUAUAAUAUCUCAAAGACCUUUUUUAAGGGAAAAAAACACAAAAUGACGUGAUCAAAAAAGGCAAGGAAAAGCAUUCCAAAAAUGUUUUUGUUCAGAAUUUUCUA